This 896-nucleotide ribosomal RNA is filed under the name uncultured bacterium. RNAcentral's name for it is "bacterial SSU rRNA". It matches the Rfam family "Bacterial small subunit ribosomal RNA", at positions 33 to 926 of the family's 1533-position model. The record is from RNAcentral.
AGGCUAGCGGCAGGCUAAUACAUGCAAGUCGAACGGCAGCGCGGGGCAACCUGGCGGCGAGUGGCGCACGGGUGAGUAACACGUACAUAACAUGCCUUUGAGAGGGGGAAAGUCACUGGAAACGGUGAAUAAUCCGCCAUAAGAUAUGAGUUUCGCAUGGGACAAAUAUUAAAGGAGCGAUCUGCUCAAAGAUUGGUGUGCGUCUGAUUAGCUAGUUGGUGGGGUAAUGGCCCACCAAGGCGACGAUCAGUAGGGGGCGUGAGAGCGUGGCCCCCCACAUGGGUACUGAGACACGGACCCAACUCCUACGGGAGGCAGCAGUAAGGAAUAUUGGUCAAUGGGCGAAAGCCUGAACCAGCCAUGCCGCGUGCGGGAAGAAGGUUCUUAGAAUUGUAAACCGCUUUUGAUAGGGAAGAAUGGGCGAGAUUAAUCUUGCAAGAGACGGUACCUAUCGAAUAAGCACCGGCUAACUCCGUGCCAGCAGCCGCGGUAAUACGGAGGGUGCAAGCGUUAUCCGGAAUCACUGGGUUUAAAGGGUACGUAGGCGGCUCGUUAAGUCAUUAUUGAAAGGUCGUUGCUUAACAACGGACGUGGUAAAGAUACUGGCGAGCUAGAAUUAGACAGAGGUUGGCAGAAUGUGUCAUGUAGCGGUGAAAUGCAUAGAUAUGACAUAGAAUACCGAUAGCGAAGGCAGCUGACUGGUCUAAAUUGACGCUGAGGUACGAAAGCGUGGGGAUCAAACAGGAUUAGAUACCCUGGUAGUCCACGCCGUAAACGAUGCUAACUGGGUGUAUGAUCGAAUAAAGGGUUGUGCACCUGAGGGAAACCAUUAAGUUAGCCACCUGGGAAGUACGCCGGCAACGGUGAAACUCAAAUGAAUUGACGGAAGGGCGAAU